GCUCGGUUAGCUCAGUUGAUUAGAGUGCUUCCUUGACGUGGAAGAGGUCGUAGGUUUGACUCCUACACCGAGCA
This 74-nucleotide transfer RNA is filed under the name Endomicrobiaceae bacterium. Its description in RNAcentral is "tRNA-Val". It matches the Rfam family "tRNA". Rfam says of the family: Transfer RNA (tRNA) molecules are approximately 80 nucleotides in length. Their secondary structure includes four short double-helical elements and three loops (D, anti-codon, and T loops). Further hydrogen bonds mediate the characteristic L-shaped molecular structure. tRNAs have two regions of fundamental functional importance: the anti-codon, which is responsible for specific mRNA codon recognition, and the 3' end, to which the tRNAs corresponding amino acid is attached (by aminoacyl-tRNA synthetases). tRNAs cope with the degeneracy of the genetic code in two manners: having more than one tRNA (with a specific anti-codon) for a particular amino acid; and 'wobble' base-pairing, i.e. permitting non-standard base-pairing at the 3rd anti-codon position. Lineage: Bacteria; Pseudomonadati; Elusimicrobiota; Endomicrobiia; Endomicrobiales; Endomicrobiaceae. RNAcentral also lists the same sequence under 2 other names. The record is from RNAcentral.